GAUGAAGAACGCAGCGAAAUGCGAUAAGUAGUGUGAAUUGCAGAAUUCAGUGAAUCAUCGAAUCUUUGAACGCACAUUGCGCCCUAUGGUAUUCCGUAGGGCAUGCCUGUUCGAGCGUCAUUCAACCCUUCAAGCUCUGCUUGGUGUUGGGCGUCUGUCCCGCCUCACGGCGCGGACUCGCCUCAAAUCUAUUGGCGGCCGGCACGUUGGCUUCGAGCGCAGCAGAAACGCGAACUCGAGGCCCGGCGGAUCGGCUCCCAGAAGCUACCCCCGAUGAAUUUGACCUCGGAUCAGGUAGGGAUACCCGCUGAACUUAAGCAUAUCAAUAAGCGGAGGA
This 337-nucleotide unclassified non-coding RNA is filed under the name soil metagenome. RNAcentral's name for it is "partial contains 5.8S ribosomal RNA, internal transcribed spacer 2, and large subunit ribosomal RNA". The stretch from base 1 to 120 matches the Rfam family "5.8S ribosomal RNA", at positions 35 to 154 of the family's 154-position model. The record is from RNAcentral.